Molecule: long non-coding RNA, 383 nt
Organism: Neopsephotus bourkii (Bourke's parrot)
Lineage: Eukaryota; Metazoa; Chordata; Aves; Psittaciformes; Psittacidae
Exons: 3
Source: RefSeq, a predicted model, not a curated record
CCGUUUUGAUCCCUACUCAGGUGCUCAGCUGCCCCAGGGAGCCACCGCUGGAGCCCAGGCCAUGCCCGACUGGAGCAGAACUGAUUUCAGCCAGUCCCCAGAUGGAUGAGUCCCUGCAGAGCUCAGUCCCUCCUCGCAGAAGACAUUGUAGUCAAAGUCCUAAUGAUCUUGAACAGGCUUCCUCCCAGGAGAAGGAACUUGAACAUCCUAGGGUGCCUUGAAGGUGUACCAGCCCUAGCCUAGGCAAAAAACUGGGAGUAACUGGAAACAUCACCACACUGGCCAGACCAACAGUGUCUUCUGCCUGGAGAACCUACAAACAGGAUCAACAGCAUCUAGGGAUGUAGCCGUCAACUGUGGCAUAAGCAGGCUCACCUGAAACA